This 253-nucleotide ribosomal RNA is filed under the name uncultured bacterium. RNAcentral's name for it is "partial 16S ribosomal RNA". It matches the Rfam family "Bacterial small subunit ribosomal RNA", at positions 524 to 776 of the family's 1533-position model. The record is from RNAcentral.
UACGUAGGGGGCUAGCGUUGUCCGGAAUCAUUGGGCGUAAAGCGCGUGUAGGCGGUUCGGUAAGUCCGCUGUGAAAGUCGGGGGCUCAACCCUCGGAUGCCGGUGGAUACUGUCGAGCUUGAGUACGGAAGAGGCGAGUGGAAUUCCUGGUGUAGCGGUGAAAUGCGCAGAUAUCAGGAGGAACACCGGUGGCGAAGGCGGAUCUCUGGGCCAUUACUGACGCUGAGGAGCGAAAGCGUGGGGAGCGAACAGG